Molecule: ribosomal RNA, 468 nt
Filed under: uncultured bacterium
Lineage: Bacteria
Description: partial 16S ribosomal RNA
Rfam family: Bacterial small subunit ribosomal RNA
Source: RNAcentral
GACGAACGCUGGCGGCGUGCUUAACACAUGCAAGUCGAACGGACAGGCCCUGCUCUUGCGGGGUGCUCGAGUGGCGAACGGGUGAGUAACACGUGAGUAACAUGCCCUUGUCUUUGUGAUAACAUUUGGAAACUGGGGCUCAUAUCGCAUAGGAGCUCCUGCAGCAUGGUGGGGGUUGGAAAGAUUCGGCGGUUGGGGCUUGUCUGGCGGCUUAUCCGCUUGUUGGUGUGGUUGGGGCUUACCAAGGCUUUGAAGGGUAGCCGGCCUGAGAGGGUGGCCGGCCACAUGGGGACUGAGAUACGGCCCAGACGCCAACGGUAGGCAGCAGUGGAGAGUAUGGCGCAGUGGGCCGAAGCCAGAUACAGCAACGCCGGGUGCGGGAUGACGGCCUUCGGGGGGUAAACCGCUUUCGCAGGUGACGAAGCGGUAGUGACGGUAAUGGGUAAAGAAGCACCGGCUAACUACGUG